Molecule: long non-coding RNA, 847 nt
Organism: Gigantopelta aegis
Lineage: Eukaryota; Metazoa; Mollusca; Gastropoda; Neomphalida; Peltospiridae
Exons: 3
Source: RefSeq, a predicted model, not a curated record
CUGAUUGAACGCUGGAACGCUUCUCGUUUCGACAGUCUGCACCACCAGAUAAUAUUAUAUUACUGAGAACACCAAUUCAAGGACAAGGUCGGCAGUUAUUAAACAAGACCAUUGUUGCUGAACUGAUCUCACUAUGAUCUUCCUUCAGUCAUCGGGUGGGUGUUAUUGCGCAAAAGUACGAGGAAUUUAAAGAUACACUCGACGCACCCCAGAAAGAUGUUUGCCAUCUACACAUCCGAUAACACGAGGGAACUGUCCUAUUUGGAAAAGCUCGUCCUUAAUUCUUUGAGUCUCGGCGUUAUUUGGAAAUUUCACAAAGUCAUCUAUUUUCUGUGCUAGGGAAGUGGAUACACGGUGGAUCGAUCUGCAAGAUGUAGAUUGUGAUAUAUGUAGAAGAUCGCUAACAAUGAUAUGAAAUGUUCCAGACACAGUAUUGCAAAGCUAUGAGGACUUGCUGAUAGGGUAGACGGUAGUUUCGUCUUGUUUCGUGUUCAAUGUCCACGGAAACACGAUCCCUCAAACUACGUUCCCGUCGCAUUAUUCGUCGUAACUCCGCCAACUGCAACAUUCUACGUGCCAUCUUGACUGCACGACGUAAUACAAACAAGUUAGCAGCUUGCUAAUGAGUUAGAGGCACUCCCGAUCGACUCUAGACUUAGCGAGCAACUUAGAAGCUUGCUACCGUUAGAAGGGUUUUAUGAAUAACACUUAGCAACAAACUGGAGUUAGAAGCCAGUUUAACAAGUAACUAGGCUUAGCAAGCUUUUGUGAAUUUGGCCCCCGUUGUUUUUGCGUCGCCAGUAAAACUCAAUAUGCGACAGUAAAACCAACAUUAACAACCGCAAAU